GCUGCUCUGUGUUUAGCUGCCUUUUUUCAGCUCCUCUGGGCUUUGUUCAAGACAUCUUCCAGCUGGAUGUUCUCUGUGGUCCUGUCUGGGGCAGGAGCAAGCAGCUGCUCUGCGGAGGAGAAUGGCAGGAGCUGGAAGGGACCUCAAAAGUUUGUCUAGUCCAGCCCCUCUGCCAGAGCAGAUCACACAGGAAUGCAUCCAGAUGGCUUGUGAAUAUCUCCAGAGAGGAAGACUCCACAACCACCCUGGGCAACCUCUCUCAGUGCUCUGUCACCCUCACAGGGAUAAAAAGUUCUUCCUCAGGCUGACAUGGAGCCUCCUGUGCCUCAACUCCCACCCCUUGCCCCUUCUUUUUGGGAAGCACUGCUGUAAUGUUUUUUUCCCAGUGACUGAUGCUUUGCUGUUGCUGUGCUUGUUUGCAGAACAAAAAUAAAAGCAGCCAGAGUUACUAUA
Pogoniulus pusillus (Red-fronted tinkerbird) is the source of this 453-nucleotide long non-coding RNA. RefSeq lists it as uncharacterized. The transcript has 2 exons. NCBI's taxonomy places the organism in Eukaryota, Metazoa, Chordata, Aves, Piciformes, Lybiidae. The record is from RefSeq and is a predicted model, not a curated record.